AUUGAACGCUGGCGGCAUGCUUUACACAUGCAAGUCGAACGGUAACAGGUUAAGCUGACGAGUGGCGAACGGGUGAGUAAUGCAUCGGAACGUGCCCGGUCGUGGGGGAUAACGCAGCGAAAGCUGCGCUAAUACCGCAUACGAUCUGAGGAUGAAAGCGGGGGACCGUAAGACCUCGCGCGAUCGGAGCGGCCGAUGUCAGAUUAGGUAGUUGGUGGGGUAAAGGCUCACCAAGCCAACGAUCUGUAGCUGGUCUGAGAGGACGACCGGCCACACUGGGACUGAGAAACGGCCCAGACUCCUACGGGAGGCAGCAGUGGGGAAUUUUGGACAAUGGGCGAAAGCCUGAUCCAGCAAUGCCGCGUGCAGGAAGAAGGCCUUCGGGUUGUAAACUGCUUUUGUACGGAGCGAAAAGGUCUCCUCUAAUACAGGGGGCUCAUGACGGUACCGUAAGAAUAAGCACCGGCUAACUACGUGCCAGCCGCCGCAGUAA
Molecule: ribosomal RNA, 493 nt
Filed under: uncultured bacterium
Lineage: Bacteria
Description: partial 16S ribosomal RNA
Rfam family: Bacterial small subunit ribosomal RNA
Source: RNAcentral